RNAcentral lists this ribosomal RNA (253 nucleotides) under uncultured bacterium. Its description in RNAcentral is "partial 16S ribosomal RNA". It matches the Rfam family "Bacterial small subunit ribosomal RNA", at positions 524 to 776 of the family's 1533-position model. The record is from RNAcentral.
GACAGAGGGGGCAAGCGUUGCUCGGAAUUACUGGGCGUAAAGCGCACGUAGGCGGCUUAGCAAGUCGGAUGUGAAACCCCUCGGCUCAACCAAGGAAGUGCAUCCGAAACUGCUGAGCUUGAGUACGAAAGAGGAUCGCGGAAUUCCCGGUGUAGAGGUGAAAUUCGUAGAUAUCGGGAGGAACACCAGUGGCGAAGGCGGCGAUCUGGGUCGAUACUGACGCUGAGGUGCGAAAGCGUGGGGAGCAAACAGG